This 443-nucleotide ribosomal RNA is filed under the name uncultured bacterium. RNAcentral describes it as "partial 16S ribosomal RNA". It matches the Rfam family "Bacterial small subunit ribosomal RNA", at positions 338 to 795 of the family's 1533-position model. The record is from RNAcentral.
CCUACGGGAGGCAGCAGUGGGGAAUAUUGCACAAUGGGCGAAAGCCUGAUGCAGCAACGCCGCGUGAAGGAAGAAGGGUUUCGGCUCGUAAACUUCUAUCAACAGGGACGAAAGAAAUGACGGUUCCUGAAUAAGAAGCCCCGGCUAACUACGUGCCAGCAGCCGCGGUAAUACGUAGGGGGCAAGCGUUAUCCGGAAUUACUGGGUGUAAAGGGUGAGUAGGCGGCAUGGUAAGCCAGAUGUGAAAGCCUUGGGCUUAACCCGAGGAUUGCAUUUGGAACUAUCAAGCUAGAGUACAGGGGAGGAAAGCGGAAUUCCUAGUGUAGCGGUGAAAUGCAUAGAUAUCGCGCAGAACUCCGAUUGCGAAGGCAGCGUACCGGCGCCGGACUGACGCUGAGGCACGAAAGCGUGGGUAUCGAACAGGAUUAGAUACCCUUGUAGUC